Molecule: ribosomal RNA, 404 nt
Filed under: uncultured Oscillibacter sp.
Lineage: Bacteria; Bacillati; Bacillota; Clostridia; Eubacteriales; Oscillospiraceae
Description: bacterial SSU rRNA
Rfam family: Bacterial small subunit ribosomal RNA
Source: RNAcentral
ACGGGAGGCAGCAGUGGGGAAUAUUGGGCAAUUGGCGCAAGCCUGACCCAGCAACGCCGCGUGAAGGAAGAAGGCUUUCGGGUUGUAAACUUCUUUUGUGAGGGACGAGAAGAAGACGGUACCUCAUGAAUAAGCCACGGCUAACUACGUGCCAGCAGCCGCGGUAAUACGUAGGUGGAAAGCGUUGUCCGGAUUUACUGGGUGUAAAGGGCGUGUAGCCGGGUCGGCAAGUCAGAUGUGAAAUCCAUGGGCUUAACUCAUGAACUGCAUUUGAAACUGUUGAUCUUGAGUAUCGGAGAGGCAAGCGGAAUUCCUAGUGUAGCGGUGAAAUGCGUAGAUAUUAGGAGGAACACCAGUGGCGAAGGCGGAUUGCUGGACGACAACUGACGGUGAGGCGCGAAAGC